RNAcentral lists this ribosomal RNA (420 nucleotides) under Bacillus tropicus. RNAcentral's name for it is "bacterial SSU rRNA". It matches the Rfam family "Bacterial small subunit ribosomal RNA", at positions 105 to 510 of the family's 1533-position model. Lineage: Bacteria; Bacillati; Bacillota; Bacilli; Caryophanales; Bacillaceae. The record is from RNAcentral.
GGUGAGUAACACGUGGGUAACCUGCCCAUAAGACUGGGAUAACUCCGGGAAACCGGGGCUAAUACCGGAUAACAUUUUGAACCGCAUGGUUCGAAAUUGAAAGGCGGCUUCGGCUGUCACUUAUGGAUGGACCCGCGUCGCAUUAGCUAGUUGGUGAGGUAACGGCUCACCAAGGCAACGAUGCGUACCCGACCUGAGAGGGUGAUCGGCCACAGUGGGACUGAGACACGGCCCACACUCCUACGGGAGGCAGCAGUAGGGAAUCUUCCGCAGUGGAAAAAAGUCUGACAGAACAACCCCGCGUGAGUGAUGAAGGCUUUCGGGUCGUAAAACUCUGUUGUUAGGGAAGAACAAGUGCUAGUUGAAUAAGCUGGCACCUUGACGGUACCUAACCAGAAAGCCACGGCUAACUACGUGCCA